ACAUAUGUGCUCGCCUUCACACUCUUCAUCCACUCAACCCCUGUGCACUUUAUCAGAGUUAGUAAUAGUAUUGUGGUGGCGGCCAUUUGUUGUUAUUCAUUGUUAGAAGCGGGGGUAACCCUGUCUGGCAAUAGUAAUGAUAAUAAUCUUGGUUCUACUACUACUACUACUAUGAACACUUUGACUUUUAUUUAUACAAACACUUUGCUUGUUCUUGUGAAUGUGUAAUGCUCCUUGUGAGCGAAAUACAAAUAUACAACUUUCAACAACGGAUCUCUUGGCUCUCGCAUCGAUGAAGAACGCAGCGAAAUGCGAUAAGUAAUGUGAAUUGCAGAAUUCAGUGAAUCAUCGAAUCUUUGAACGCACCUUGCGCCCCUUGGUAUUCCGAGGGGCAUGCCUGUUUGAGUGUCAUGUAAUUCUCAAUCCUCUUCUUCUUAACUGAAGAAAAAGAGGCUUGGACUUGGAGGUAUACACAAGCUGGUACUGUUUGGUAUUGGCUCCUCUCAAAUACAUUAGCUGGACUGUAGUUCGCAUUGUUUGGUGUAAUAGUUCUAUCUUAUUUCACUACAGUGCUUACUUAGACGGGUCUGCUUCCAAUAGUCCGCCUAUGUGU
Molecule: unclassified non-coding RNA, 613 nt
Filed under: Fomitiporia torreyae
Lineage: Eukaryota; Fungi; Basidiomycota; Agaricomycetes; Hymenochaetales; Hymenochaetaceae
Description: partial contains ITS1, 5.8S rRNA and ITS2
Rfam family: 5.8S ribosomal RNA (bases 258-411)
Source: RNAcentral